AAAUAGAUUGGGGAUGGAGUCCCCCAUAUAAACCGCCCGGGCUGGGCUGAUGACUCCUACCGGCAG
Molecule: non-coding RNA, 66 nt
Filed under: Desulfatitalea sp.
Lineage: Bacteria; Pseudomonadati; Thermodesulfobacteriota; Desulfobacteria; Desulfobacterales; Desulfosarcinaceae
Description: Fluoride sequence
Rfam family: Fluoride riboswitch aptamer (crcB RNA motif)
Source: RNAcentral